GGCACUUUGGCGGAGUGGUUAACGCGUUGCCCUGCUAUAAAUGUCUAUGUAAAUAGACAAAGACAGGCAAUUCCUUCGGGAGCAAGAGUUCGAAUCUCUUAGGUGUCG
Xylariaceae sp. FL1019 is the source of this 108-nucleotide non-coding RNA. NCBI's taxonomy places the organism in Eukaryota, Fungi, Ascomycota, Sordariomycetes, Xylariales, Xylariaceae. The record is from the annotation of a GenBank genome assembly.